GGCUCUAUUACUCCCUGACGGACCGCUAUAGUGCCCACGAUCCUGCUCCACUCCCUGCGACGGAUUCUGCGCGGCUCCAUUACUCCCUGGCAGACCGCUAUGAUGCCCACGAUCCUGCUCCUCUUCCUGCGACGGAUACCAUACGAUUCUUCCAUCCCCUGGCAAGUCGUGACAACGGACGUCGCUCCACUCCCUGCGGC
RNAcentral lists this long non-coding RNA (200 nucleotides) under Elaeis guineensis (African oil palm). Its description in RNAcentral is "long non-coding RNA (EGUI_LNC059294)". Lineage: Eukaryota; Viridiplantae; Streptophyta; Magnoliopsida; Arecales; Arecaceae. The record is from RNAcentral.